UGACGGCUCUAAUCUAUUAGU
RNAcentral lists this unclassified non-coding RNA (21 nucleotides) under Maribacter polysiphoniae. RNAcentral's name for it is "guide RNA from Maribacter polysiphoniae (PDB 8SQU, chain C)". The record is from RNAcentral. Lineage: Bacteria; Pseudomonadati; Bacteroidota; Flavobacteriia; Flavobacteriales; Flavobacteriaceae. RNAcentral also lists the same sequence under 3 other names.